Molecule: small nuclear RNA, 107 nt
Organism: Stegodyphus dumicola
Lineage: Eukaryota; Metazoa; Arthropoda; Arachnida; Araneae; Eresidae
Source: RefSeq, a predicted model, not a curated record
ACUUGCUUCGGCAAGUGCGUAUAUCAAAAAUUGGAACAACGCAGAGAAGAUUAGCAUGGUCCCUGCGCAAGGAUGACACGCAAAAUCGUGAAGCAUCAUCAAUUUUU